AACGAACGCUGGCGGCAUGCCUAACACAUGCAAGUCGAACGAGACCUUCGGGUCUAGUGGCGCACGGGUGCGUAACGCGUGGGAACCUGCCCUUAGGUUCGGAAUAACUCCCCGAAAGGGGUGCUAAUACCGGAUAAUGUCUUCGGACCAAAGAUUUAUCGCCUUUGGAUGGGCCCGCGUUGGAUUAGCUAGUUGGUAGGGUAAAAGCCUACCAAGGCGACGAUCCAUAGCUGGUCUGAGAGGAUGAUCAGCCACACUGGGACUGAGACACGGCCCAGACUCCUACGGGAGGAAGCAGUGGGGAAUAUUGGACAAUGGGCGAAAGCCUGAUCCAGCAAUGCCGCGUGAGUGAUGAAGGCCUUAGGGUUGUAAAGCUCUUUUAACCGGGAUGAUAAUGACAGUACCGGGAGAAUAAGCUCCGGCUAACUCCGUG
Molecule: ribosomal RNA, 433 nt
Filed under: uncultured bacterium
Lineage: Bacteria
Description: partial 16S ribosomal RNA
Rfam family: Bacterial small subunit ribosomal RNA
Source: RNAcentral